GCAAACUUGGUCAUUUAGAGGAAGUAAAAGUCGUAACAAGGUUUCCGUAGGUGAACCUGCGGAAGGAUCAUUAACAAAAUUGUUAUCCAAUAUUCACCUUGUGUGCAGUUUUGCAUAAAAAAUUAAUAUCUUUUGGAAAGAUUUAUUUUACUAUUUAUAGUGAUAAUGGUAAUCUUUCCAAAGAGGUUAUUAUAAUCAAUCUAUUUUUUCUUUUCUUUAUUAUGUCUAAAAUUAUAUAUCUAAAAUAAAAAAAUAACUUUCAACAACGGAUCUCUUGGCUCUCGCAUCGAUGAAGAACGCAGC
Molecule: unclassified non-coding RNA, 303 nt
Filed under: uncultured fungus
Lineage: Eukaryota; Fungi
Description: partial contains small subunit ribosomal RNA, internal transcribed spacer 1, and 5.8S ribosomal RNA
Rfam family: Eukaryotic small subunit ribosomal RNA (bases 1-73)
Source: RNAcentral